Molecule: non-coding RNA, 713 nt
Filed under: Pan troglodytes (chimpanzee)
Lineage: Eukaryota; Metazoa; Chordata; Mammalia; Primates; Hominidae
Source: RNAcentral
AUUCGGAAUAUAACUAACUAACUAACUUCCUUCCUUCCUUCCUUCCUUCCUCCCUCCCUCCCUCCCUGCCUUCCCUUCCUUCCUGCCUUCCUUCUUCCUUCCUCCCUUUUUUCUUUUCUCCCUUCCUUCCUUCUUAAUAUGUUUUUGGCCUUUUCUUUAUAUAUGUGGCCUAGCAAUAUCCUGUGUUUGGAAAAGUAUAAACCUAAGGCAUCACCUUUACAGAAAAUAUCUUCCACGGAAACAUCUAAAGUACCUGUCUCCUCCCAUAGUUAGGUGCCAAGCACUGUGGAUUCUGCCCCUCAGUGUCCAGACACCCAUUUUCCUUCCCACUGUUCCUUCCCCAUGGAGAAGCCUGUGGCUGGCUGACAGCAGAGAGAGAUGCUCAACUUGGAGAAGGUGUUACCUGGGCCAGGUGGGGAAGGUUUGUUUGCAGAGCAAAGAAGUGAAGGAAGUAUUAACCCUUUGCAUGGCCUCCUGAGAAUCCGACAAGACGUAAAUAGCCAAGAAUAUCUGUGGAACUUAAUCACUGAGUUACAGUAUUUAUCACUGCAAGUGUGUUGUUCAUUGACACUAUAAAGCCAUGUGGAAUUAAGCAGCCUUGAAACACAAAAUGGAGAAAGGCUGAGAGCUGAGAAUUGUUGCCUUCAGGAAAAUACAAUCAAUGUCAAGCAAACAACCACCCCAAAAUGGUUAGCUUUAUCAGCAUUCAGGCC